Molecule: non-coding RNA, 160 nt
Organism: Pseudonaja textilis
Lineage: Eukaryota; Metazoa; Chordata; Lepidosauria; Squamata; Elapidae
Source: RefSeq, a predicted model, not a curated record
AACCCAUAGAACAGAAGUUGACUUCAGAAGAUGUGGGAGCUUCACCCCUAGAAACUUUCAAGAAAAGGCUGGACUGCCCUCUGUCAGAAAUGGUGUUGGUUCUCCUGCUUGGGCGUGGGUGGGGGUUGGACUAGAUGACCUAUAAGGUCCCAUCCAACUC